This 359-nucleotide ribosomal RNA is filed under the name uncultured bacterium. RNAcentral describes it as "bacterial SSU rRNA". It matches the Rfam family "Bacterial small subunit ribosomal RNA", at positions 8 to 352 of the family's 1533-position model. The record is from RNAcentral.
AGAGUUUGAUCAUGGCUCAGGAUGAACGCUAGCUACAGGCUUAACACAUGCAAGUCGAGGGGAAACGACAUCGAAAGCUUGCUUUUGAUGGGCGUCGACCGGCGCACGGGUGAGUAACGCGUAUCCAACCUGCCCACCACUUGGGGAUAACCUUGCGAAAGUAAGACUAAUACCCAAUGACGUCUCUAGAAGACAUCUGAAGGAGAUUAAAGAUUUAUCGGUGAUGGAUGGGGAUGCGUCUGAUUAGCUUGUUGGCGGGGUAACGGCCACCAAGGCGACGAUCAGUAGGGGUUCUGAGAGGAAGGUCCCCCACAUUGGGAACUGGGACACGGUCCGUAACCUACCUACCGGAGGGCGAC